Molecule: ribosomal RNA, 497 nt
Filed under: proteobacterium D248a
Lineage: Bacteria; Pseudomonadati; Pseudomonadota
Description: bacterial SSU rRNA
Rfam family: Bacterial small subunit ribosomal RNA
Source: RNAcentral
AACGCUGGCGGCAGGCUUAACACAUGCAAGUCGAGCGCCCCGCAAGGGGAGCGGCAGACGGGUGAGUAACGCGUGGGAACGUACCCUUUUCUACGGAAUAACCCAGGGAAACUUGGACUAAUACCGUAUGUGCCCUUCGGGGGAAAGAUUUAUCGGAAAAGGAUCGGCCCGCGUUGGAUUAGCUAGUUGGUGGGGUAAAGGCCUACCAAGGCGACGAUCCAUAGCUGGUCUGAGAGGAUGAUCAGCCACAUUGGGACUGAGACACGGCCCAAACUCCUACGGGAGGCAGCAGUGGGGAAUAUUGGACAAUGGGCGCAAGCCUGAUCCAGCCAUGCCGCGUGAGUGAUGAAGGCCCUAGGGUUGUAAAGCUCUUUCACCGGUGAAGAUAAUGACGGUAACCGGAGAAGAAGCCCCGGCUAACUUCGUGCCAGCAGCCGCGGUAAUACGAANGGGGCUAGCGUUGUUCGGAUUUACUGGGCGUAAAGCGCACGUAGGCG